This 253-nucleotide ribosomal RNA is filed under the name uncultured bacterium. RNAcentral describes it as "partial 16S ribosomal RNA". It matches the Rfam family "Bacterial small subunit ribosomal RNA", at positions 524 to 776 of the family's 1533-position model. The record is from RNAcentral.
UACGUAGGGUGCAAGCGUUGUCCGGAAUUAUUGGGCGUAAAGAGCUCGUAGGCGGUCUGUCGCGUCGGCUGUGAAAACCCGGGGCUCAACCCCGGGCCUGCAGUCGAUACGGGCAGACUAGAGUGUGGUAGGGGAGACUGGAAUUCCUGGUGUAGCGGUGAAAUGCGCAGAUAUCAGGAGGAACACCGGUGGCGAAGGCGGUUCUCUGGGCAUGUCCUGACGCUGAGGAGCGAAAGUGUGGGGAGCGAACAGG